AAAACAGUUUAAAACUGUUGAUUUGAUGUGAAAUUGCUGUAAAUAAAGUAAUGUGGAAAAACCGUAAUAUGUACAUUUUUUCUCUGAAAAAAAUACAUAAACCUACUGUAAAUCACUCUUGCAUAGUUUUUUUAACGGAAGAUUCCAAUAAAGUUUAGAACAGGCAAACACAAUUUUUUUUUUACAUUUGUUUAUUGAAAAAAAUACAGGUUUUAAUUGGUGAAUGUAAGCAUUGUUGUUUUGGUAAUGGAUCCAUGCUGUAAUAUGACUUCAUGAUUUUUGCAUUAAUUUCACAUAAUAAUAAUGGAUUAGAUAGCGGUUUUCAAGAAGCCCAAAGCACUUUACAUUAAAUCCAUUCUUGAUUCAUAGCACAUUUAAUACAGCAUAUUCUUCCUCAAAUUGUAAUAUAACAGGUACAUAUGUCCCAAGAUCUUUAUACUAGAAAUGUAUUAGGGCAAUUUUUGGAUGUAGUUUUUGUAAAGAAUAUGGGAUGUAGCUGUUAAAUCUACAUUCUGUUGAACUCAAUAAACCAUGAGCUUAAAAUGUAAAAGCCAACAAAAGCCAACAACAACAAGACCUACAGCUAAUGAUAGACAUACUAUAUUAUUGAGUGAAUUCAUAUAAUCCCAAAAGUGUUAAAAGAUUUUAAAAGCACCUCCUCCCAAAACUAGGCGUUUUCCCCUGAAGUUUAGAACACCGUUUCACAUCAAGGCGCCUGAUUUCAAACGGGCCAAUCAGCGCACUGCAUCAGGCUCCACCACAGACAACGUCUGUACAGCUCACCACAAGUUUUGCUUUGGAGUACGGCAGCACGCUAUCUUCAUUUUCGUGGACUUGUUUCUCAUUUUUUUAAUUUAACGUCUGCCACAGCUCGUCUUCAGUUACUACGGGUGCUGAUCUAGCAGUGUGUGGACCUCAGCGGACCCCAGAAACGUAUAGAUCUGCCACUGAACAGCUGGAAAGAGAAGACGUGUCAGAAGUUCAGGGGAUAAAGUUCAGAUAUGGCUGAAUCGCAGGUGCUUAUCUUAAAGAACAUAGGGGAUGCAAUUGCAGGAGUGCUUCCAGACCUUCCUGAUCAACUUCUCAAGUCGGUAGAAGAUACUUUGAAAAAAACUUGGUGCCGAAACCACAGAUGAUUUAAAGUACAUUACAGAAAAUGACCUGCUGCUAGUGCUCAAGCCCAUACAAUCCAGAAGACUAGUGGUGCCUGGACCCAAAAUGGUAAGUGUAAAACAUUACCACCACACCAAACGCACAGAGGGCUGUUGAAGUUGGAAAUAGUUAGAAUAUGAGUGUUCCUGAGUUUGAUGAUGUGACCAUCAUUAUUUAACCAUGCUUUCUGUGUAAAUAAAACUUGGAUGUUUUGUGGGGCAGUUUAAUACAUUUUGAGUUUUGAAAUGCAAUCUAUUAGACAAAUUGCAUUAUUAAAUUUUGACCAUGCUCUGUAACCUUAAUAUCUCAAGAUGUAUCUAUGCAGUGCAGAAUUUAACAUAACAGCAAACAUGAUUUCAUGCUUUCAUCUCUUUUAUAUGUACUUUUAAAGUCUGGCACUUCGACACCAAUCGCUGUACAUUCCUCUCCAGUGGAUGUCCUUUUUUCUCCACCCUCAAUUUCUUCUUCACCAACAUCAUCCACCACUACUUCAUCACCUUCAGGAAUCUGUACACCAUUACUACCAAACUGGGUAGAGAGAUUUGAGAUACCAUGGCAGAGGCUCCCUGAGGAGUUGGUACAGAUGACGACAACAACACAGACGAAAUACCAGCUGAACAAAAAGCAAGGGUUCAAGACACAUGGCUGUAUUAGCUGGGAGCCAAAGCAUUUGCCACUCUGAGAUUGUGGAGAGUCAGCUUGAAAAAAAAAGAAGAAAUGAAGAAGCUGUUUAAAAAGAAUAACUACAAUACAGAUGUUGUGAAAGAACUAGUCAAGUGCACCUAUUACACGCAGUGUAAAGACAUCAACAAAGGGGCAAGCAUCCAGAAACUAUGCCAGGAAUACUAUGCCAAAAAUAACUAUUUGCUCGGGCAGAUGCAGAAGGAGCAGAAGGACACCCUGAAUGAGUCCUCACAAAAACCCCAUCCAUGAAAUAAUACCCUGCGGCUCGUGCUCUCGCCACGACGCUUUUAGAGU
Long non-coding RNA from Oreochromis niloticus (Nile tilapia), 2130 nucleotides. RefSeq lists it as uncharacterized. The transcript is spliced from 3 exons. Lineage: Eukaryota; Metazoa; Chordata; Actinopteri; Cichliformes; Cichlidae. The record is from RefSeq and is a predicted model, not a curated record.